RNAcentral lists this ribosomal RNA (468 nucleotides) under uncultured bacterium. RNAcentral's name for it is "partial 16S ribosomal RNA". It matches the Rfam family "Bacterial small subunit ribosomal RNA", at positions 28 to 507 of the family's 1533-position model. The record is from RNAcentral.
GACGAACGCUGGCGGCGUGCUUAACACAUGCAAGUCGAACGGAAAGGCCCUGCUUUUGUGGGGUGCUCGAGUGGCGAACGGGUGAGUAACACGUGAGUAACCUGCCCUUGACUUUGGGAUAACUUCAGGAAACUGGGGCUAAUACCGGAUAGGAGCUCCUGCUGCAUGGUGGGGGUUGGAAAGUUUCGGCGGUUGGGGAUGGACUCGCGGCUUACCAGCUUGUUGGUGGGGUAGUGGCUUACCAAGGCUUUGACGGGUAGCCGGCCUGAGAGGGUGACCGGCCACAUUGGGACUGAGAUACGGCCCAGACUCCUACGGGAGGCAGCAGUGGGGAAUAUUGCACAAUGGGCGGAAGCCUGAUGCAGCAACGCCGCGUGCGGGAUGACGACCUUCGGGUUGUAAACCGCUUUCGCCUGUGACGAAGCGUGAGUGACGGUAAUGGGUAAAGAAGCACCGGCUAACUACGUG